UAUAUUUUAAUUUUUAUAUAUGCGUAAUUGUUAUAAAAUGAAAUACAUAGUUAACACGUUUUAUUGUCAUAAACCUCUAAACGGGCUGGAAUGAUAUGUAUCAUAACAGACGGGAUCGUAAUAUUUAUACGGGAAAAACACUUUAUUACAAUAAUUAUUAUUGCCGCAGUCGUAUAUUAUCAUCAACGACGUUAAUUAAAUCCGAACGGCCUUUUGCAUCAACAACGCAACUGUAUUAUUAUGAUAUUAUUAUUGUAUUAUGCGGCACAAACAAUAUGAUAUCUGCGGACGAGCAAAUGUACAACAAUACCUAACAAUAUAAUUAUAUGUCGCAGUAAAUAAUAAUUUCACGAAAUCAAAUUCUGUGUGAACGCGUGAUUCUAGCUAGCUGCGUUAUACAUAUUGAAAAAAUUAUUGCGUAUGAGCGGGAGAUAUGUCGUAGGUACAUAUAGAACGUUGUACGUACCUAUAUAUAUUAUUAUAUUAAAUAAAAGAGUUUGAAAGUUUUUUUUUGCGGAGAAAGAAACGGAAAAGGAAGACAGGAUGGAGCACAUCUCCGGCGUCCUCGACCUUCGUCCCCGGCGCGGGUCGUUUCCCGUCUUAACGUUAUUGCUACUUCACACAAUCCGGGUCGCGUAAUAAUAAUAUAAUAAACCGAAACGCGCCCAUCAGGACGAACCUUACGAUCGAAAUUGCGAGUUUUCAUCCGAUCGUGAGGCGCGCUAAACGCCUAUUUUGCAGUAUAUACGAACGUAUAUUAUAUUGUUAGGCGUUUAUAGUACCUAAGUUUAUAUAUUGUAUAGUUCCGGUUCUGGUUACGAGUACCCGUGUAUACCUUUAACAAUGGUUAAGAAAUCAUAACAUUGUUUAAAACAAUACAAAUUCGUGUGUAGCUGAUUUUUUUUGUCAAUCGCCUAACAUAAUUUUUAAUACUUAUUAUUCACGUCGUUAUAUGCAUGCAUAUAAUAAUAUGUACUACUAUAUCACUCAACCUCCCAUCUCAACACUGACCAUACGUGUUAUAUUAUACCUAUCGGUUUAACAACGAUUAAGGAUUCAGAAAACAUUUAAUACCGUAUAAAUCCGAAACUGGUUCGAUUUUGUUAAAAGCAAACACCCCAUAUAUAAUUAACUGUAAUAUUACUAACGUUGUCAAUAUUAAUAUAAUAUAUCACACUUUGCCCCGAAUAUCUCUCUAUACGACAAUAAUAAUAAUAUCAACUAUAAUAUAUCAGGCGGACAAUUAAUAUAUUAUUAUAAUAUUGGUACCGGCGUUGCGUAACAUAAUGAUGUAGUGCUAUGUACAAAAUUAGUCGUGGUUUUGGAAAGUCGUCCUAUAGUAAAUAUUUCAGUAUAUAUCAUAUAUACGUAUACCUCCUAUUAAUAACAUAUACCUAACCUAUAUACGCGCAUAUUAUAUGUAUAGUAUAGUUUGAAGAGCCCUCGAUUAAUAAAUGUGAAUUAUUGCCGUGUCUGCGUUUGUUGGCGGUGGCGCUUGUUUAAGUAUAUGUUUAUAAUGUACAUAUAUUAUUAUAAUAUGUGUGUGUAUAUAUUGCAUAUAGUAGGUACAUGUACGAGACACGCUUACGCACAUGUGUGUGAGUGUGUGUAAAAUGGAUUGCUCGUUCAAAGUUUUGGCCGUCGGUGUGUAGGGGACGACGACGCACGGUGACGGUGUCAACGACAAUAAUAAUACCAACAAUGGGACGAAAAAAAGAGACUGUGCGCGGUGGUCCACGACCGAAUUUUCGUCACCUACGCAGCGGUUCAAUACGCGACUAGUGUCGUAAUAAUUAUAUAAUAAUAUAUUAUAAUAUAAUAUGCCAAUCACGCGCCGCUAAUUGGCAAACGGAAUUCGGUUAAAAAACGAAAAAUAAAAUUACAUUUGAAGUACGAAAGCCAUUAUUAUUCAUGAAUAAGAUACAAUAAUAGACACCAAAAAGGAUAUAUUGAUGUGCCUGCAGCAAUACACAUACAAUAUUAUAUGAAACGGACGGUGAGCGUAGGAGGGUUGGUAAAAUAUACCUACGUGUUUAUCGAUAAAACAUAUGCCAACACGUAAGUACAUAAUAUUAUAUACCUUUAUGCUCGAUAUUUCACAUCGAUAUAGCCGAUCGCGGACCGAUGAAAUAACAUAAUAUUAGUAUCGGAAAAUCGAGAGUGUUAAGCAGCGGUUCGCGUGCCAGUGCGCCGUGUCUGGCGGAAGAGGAUUAUAUUCAACCCACCCCUCUACUCUCAUCCCCACGAUCGGUGUACUUUGUCGCUGCACAAUUGCCGCGUAAAUCAUAACACGGGUCGCGCGUUCGCGGCCCCUCUUAAUUAGUUCGACACGGGAGAGAGCGUAUAUAGUUUAUACCUAUAUAUAUAAUAUUAUAUUAUAUAUUUAUAGUAGUAACAACUAUAAAGUAUAAAUAGUCGUAUAGAGUCGCGGUCGUGGGGGGUAGGUUAUAGCUGCGUGUGUGUAUAUCUAUAGUGAUAUUGUCGGCGAGCGGCUUAUAGUUUGGAAGGGGCGAAGGAGUAGGUAAAGACAGCGCACUCGGACGUUAUGCUAUAUAGGUCGUCGUUAGCGCAGACGAUAUUCUUAAGCGCUAAACGCGGUCGUCUACAUAUAGAUUUCAUGGCAUAGGUAUAUUGUAUGCGUUUAAUAUCAUAUUAUUUAGGUAUUAUUCAGGUGGCAGGCACCUACUGCACAUUAUUAUGAAAUCUUUACGUGAUUUACGAAUUUCCGCCGUCACCGCGAUACGUUUUAUGUGUACGGCGACAAUAAUAAUAGCAACAUGCGUCGUAAAAAAAACAAACAUUAUUACAAUAAUAAUAUAAAUACGGCAACGGCGGGAUUUUCGUGCGAGCGGUGCACACCGGUGCUGUGCACAGUGCGUGUGUAGGUGAACGAGAGACGGCGGAAUACAUAUUACAGCGUUUUGAUUUAGUGGCCCCGGCCCGAAAUUUAUUGCCCUCGAAUUACAAUUACCCGCGGUAAACAUAUAUUAUGCACACGCGGCGGCGACGAUAACCGACGGCGACGAACCAUUAUUAUUAUUAUUACAAUUAUUAUUAUUACGACGACGACGACGAAGAUAGGUCGCGCGGUCGCCGAGUGUGACGGCCCUAGACUUUCGUGUCGAAAAAUACGUCUCGAUGUGUGAAUAAGAUAAAAACGGCGGAAACACUCUUAAUUGAGUAGGCAUCGUGGAUUUGAAAAACAAAGCUACUGCUGCGCGACCGUCUCUCGUAUAUUUUAAUACGAUGGUAUUAUUAUUGUUAUAUGACGUAUAUAAAUGUAUAAUAAUAUAGUUAUUAUACAAUUUACUGCACCGCCGUCGCUUGUUUAACGACGAUAGAGGUAGAAAUUUGAAUUACUAAUUUCGUGUCCAGCCCACUGUCGCGCGCAAAUAUAGGAAUUUUAUUAUUUAUAUACGUUUCAUCUCUUCCUCCUCGUCCGGCGAGGCAGAAUGGAAAGUGUCAAGUCGCGUCGUCGUCGUGAGUGCGCGCGUGUUUUCGAUGGUAUAAUUACACCCUAAGCUAUAUACCGUACGUCGACGUGGGCGUAACUUAUAGGUAUAUGGUAUGGCUGGUAUGAUGUAUAAAUGUUACACCGAAGACCUGUGAAAUCUCGUCGACCAAAAUAUAGUCCACAAUAAUUAUAUAAAUCAUUUUAGAACUAUACGAAAAUAAAUUUUUCUUCAAAAUACAUUAUGCGUCAUAUUAUUUAUUAUUGUUAAACAAGGUAGGCAUAUAGGUAUAGGAAUCAGGAAAUACGAACGCGGUUACCGGUAGCUGGCAGCCGGUACACAUUAUAACAGAGUCGAAUAGCAUAUUAUAUAUUAUUAUGUAUAUGUUUGUACACCGCGAUACGGUUGGAUUUUACUUAAUGAAAAAAAAAUAAUAAUAAUAGUGAUAAAACCUACGGGCUGAUGAAUUACACGGACCCCCGGUGAGAGUGCGAUUUUGCAUAAUAUUGACCCAAACAAAACGCACGCGGGGCCAGUUCGAUUUGCCGGUUUUCGUUUACAACUUUGCCAAAACGUUAGUCGUAAAUUUAGAUUCCAAUGUGUAUAUAAGACCGCCGCAGGCGUCGGUAUGUAUGCAUAUACAUAAACUAUUUAUUAUAUUUAUUUAUUCUAUUAUAAUUUAUAAUUUAAUUUUUAGCGUCCACGCUUUUUUUCAUGGCUAAUCUAAAAACGAUUUUCAUAGUGUAUGUUUAUUAUUAUUAAUAUUAAUAGGUACGUAUUAUUAUGAUGCGACGACAGCUGCCGCGCAGUGACGAGAGAAAACCCGUUUGACAAAUUCUCGGAAAAAAAAUUAACUGCCAUAGAAAUUAUUGGAUUUGUAAAAAACGAAAUGCGAUAAUUUAACGACGUUGCUAAGUAACAGCGAGGCGACUUACGGCGUUUUAAUGAUACGGUGCAGCGCGUACCCUAUUACGGAGCAUAAAUAGCUGAUAUAUUACCGGAAUAAUUAUUGUUAUAUGCACAGAUAACUGGGUCGUUAUUGUUCGAUUAAACUUUACGACGUGUCAAGUUUUGAAAACACGUUUGAUUUUUAGACCUCAGUCAUAGUUUAAAUUGUGGAGUAGAUAUAGGUACAUAAUCGGCACCUAUAGGUAUAUAUAGAGGUACAUAGGUAAUCGGUGCCUAGGUAUAUAUAUAGGUACAUCGAAUUAACAGACCGUUUUUUUUUUUUACACAUUUUCGUGACCACCGAACCAUAAUAUAUCCGUCAAUUCGGCUACCCGUUUCGAGUAAGUAUAAUUCGUCCGCGGAAAAAAUAGCAUAAAAGCAAAUACGUCAUAAUAACGACAUAUCGUUAUAUUAUAAACUGCACAAUAUUACCUAUGUAUUAUAUUUUAUAAUAUUACAGCAGUGCCGUAAGCCCUUCCCUCAUUCAAAACGAGCUCACAGACAACCUCGAUACCUACGCGCGUUCGACUCUCUUUGAUCCUUAUCGUCGGUGUUUAUUUAAAGUGAAACUGGGCCAUGCGUCUAUCGUUUCUUUCUGAUAAAAUGCAGUGGCUCGCGGGCCGGACGCGCGCACGCAUACUGCACACGUACAUGUAUGUUAUUAUUAUUAUUAUAUUAUACAUAGGUAUAUACUAUAAUAUAUAUUAUAUUAUUAUUAUUAUUAUUAUGUUAUAGAACGGUAUAGUCGCCGCCGGUGUGUGCGCGAUAUUUUGGCAACGAAAACGGACGUAUAUGAUAUUUUAUAUAUAUACAUAACGUAUCGGCCGAGCGCGAAAGGGAGGGAAAAAAUUCGACAGUGGGUGUAAAAAUUGGCACGAGACUAUCCGAAAAAGCACCGAGCGCUGCACGUGGGGAUGUGCGGUAUAUUGUUUUUACGCGUACAACAAUGGACGUCCGCGAGGCCGACAUGGUGCAGGAAGAGUAGUUUUUUAAUAUAAUAUAUAUUAUAACGUUACACAUAUACCUGCGAUAAAAAAAGGGGUAGGAAAAAAUCGAAAAAUUGCAGGGCGGACUAGAUACACGUUCUGUGCAGUACACGCGAUGCUGGAACAGCAGAAGUGUACUACCAUGACAUAUACAACAAAAGACCUCCGGACGAUUUAGGGGUGGGCAGACCGUCGUCCGCGGUAGGUCCGGGGGGGGGGAUUAACGUUAACGUUGACUUAUAUGUAAAUACGUGUACAUAAUAUGUAUGAUGCAUACCUGUAUAUAUAUAUAUAUAUCUGUGUGUGUGUGUGUACCUAAAUACCUAUGUACAAACCGCGCAUAUAAAUAUUAUAUUAUAUACGAGUAUAGGUAUGGACCGGGCAUAAAUCAAUCGCCGGCACGUCGUCGUACACGCAUAUAUGUAAUUUAACGAUAUAUAAUAUAUUAUGCUUUGGUAUACGAUAUAUCAUAUAGCGCGAGUGGGGAAACCGAAAAGAAUAUAAUAAUGCGGCUUGCGAGGGGGAGGGUGGGGGAGGAAGGAAAAAUUUGAAAUUAAUUAGGUCCGGUGGCGCGGCCGUUCAGGCCACACCCACGCGUGCGGCCGACGUAGGUAUACGUAUAUAAUAUAUAUAUAUUAUAUAUACAAUGCGCAUUUAUAUUAUGUAUCGUUAAAACGGACGUCGUACUCGCACAGUACAAUAUAGGUACAUAAUAUUAUUAUAUUAUAUACGUGCGCGCUUAUAUUGUUAUAUAAUGCACAUAGACAAUAAUAUAAUAUUAUACUUAGAUGUAGAUAUUAUUUGUUCGUUUUAAAUGCCAAUUACGAUGAUAUAUAGUAACACAGUACCAAGUGCAGGAUAUUAUAUUAUAAUGUGCGCGCGCAAUAUAUUAUAUUGUACGAGUGAGUGACCCCACCGCGCAACUCCUACCAGUCCCUAUAGGUACAUACUACGGUAACUAUACCUACUAGUCGGCAUGCGCAAUACAUUGUUAUAAUAAUAAUAAUAUUAUUAUCAGGUAUUAUUAUUUUAUCGUAUAAAGUAGGUACGUGACGAGUGCCGCCGGCCUCGGAGAAGAAGCGAACGCCCGGCGGUCUACGCGGCGGCGGCGACGACCUGCAGCCUCCGAUGCAACGGUCGUCGGUCACUAUCAUAUGUAUACGAUAGGAAAUUCCUGUUAGGAAAUACAUACCUACGCGGGUGCAGUGUAUACAAUCGACGCUUGAAUUGAUGGGACGCAUGUGGAGGUUGGUGGACGCAUUGAAAGGUAAGUAUAUAAAAAAAUAUGCAGUUUAUAUAUUAUUAUAUAUACUUAUAACGAUGUAUAUUUUGUCUUUUUUAGGAAAUCAAAUCUUAAUAGGACAACCCCUAUCGGAAUCAUCGACAAUAAAUAUUUUUUUACCGAUUCGCGUAGAAUUGUGCGACCGACGCGUUAAGCGCGAGUAUAUUUUACACAUAUAUAUAUAUAUAUACAAAACGCCGACAGCGGCGGCCAUCGUAUUCCGACGCUGCUGCGUCCAUAUUGCAGCCGCCGCCGAUGCACAUGUGCACCCGUUAAAACGGCAACGUCGAUCUUCAGUCACUGAUGCACUGUGCUCGAGCGAUGUCCCAUCUAACUGGCAACUACCUAAGGGUUAUUAUUUUUUUAAUGAAAUGAUCAGAACUAGAAUCGUCCGACCUGAUUAUUCUCAUAUAAAUUGUAUAGGUAGGUGGUACUGAUAUUAUCGAGUAAUUAUAAAAUUAAAAACAGUGUAUAAUAUAUUGUAAGCCACCCCGGAAGCUUAUAUAAAAUAUAUUAUAUCUACUCUAUUUUAUUCUAUUUUAUUCUCUGCUCGUAACGUAAUAGCUGGUAUAAUAUAUAAUAUCAUAGAGGAUAGAGGUGCACGCGCCCGAUUAUCGCGUAUACAGAGCAUGUACACACUGCACCGCGGGCUGUAACCAUUGUUCGAUUGUUGCUGGUGUAAAUAAACCAUAUCAUUAGGUCCAUAAACAUUCAAAGUACGACCGCGACGGUAUCCAAAUUACUAUACGGUGGUAUUUUAAUUUUAUCGAGUCCGCGAUGCAGCACUGCAAGCAGGCUUUAGAGCAACGAUUUGAAUCUCGUUCGUUGACGUACCUAUAGAGUAUAUUAUUUUGGAGACCAUUAGGUAUAGAAAAACUGAGAUUUACGGGUACUUGCCUAAUUAGUAAUAAUUGUAUAGUAUAGUUUCAAACAAAUAACCCAAUAUGGAAAGGGAUUAUUAUGUUAUAUGAACCGAUUAAAAAUAACACUUUUAAAAGUGUUUUACCUUCGCCGAUGGUCCGAUGUGAUUUAUAUUAUAGUAGCGUACUUAUCCAAACAGCAUAUUAACACUUACGCAACAUUAAUAUCGGACUUCGUGUAUGAAAAACAUUAAGCAUUUUACAUUAUCAUUUAAUGGCCAAAAACAAAUUAAAUCAAAAUAUUACAAGAAGAUUAUAUUCCUAAUAAAAAUGUUUACGAAUUUACAGAAACUGUUGUAAAUCAAUAUGGGUACCUGCAAUUAAUUUUAACGACAAUCAUUUUAAAUCAUUAGGAAACGCGCAGGACAAAAAACAUGGACAAGUAACCUAUAUAAAAAUAAGUAAUUAAAUAUAUAUUAUACUUGCCACGUAUAUCUACUCCCUCGCUUAGGUUACGCAAUCGAUUUUAUCACCGAAAACGAAACGCGCGCGUAUAACGAUUAAUUUUAACCGAGACGAGAAACAAACAGAAUUACACCUCGUUUACUGGCCAUUAAAAUUAAUUCAAACGUUUUCUCUCUCUCUCCUCUCGAAUAUAGGUGUAUUUAGGCGUCGACGGACAAAAUUAUCUAAGUAUCUAUCCACAAUAGAAUGCUGUAAUAUUUCAUAAAAUUAUAUUAUUUUUUAUAUAAUAGUAUAUAGGCAUGUUGGAUUUUGUCAUAAAAUAUGUAUGGUAUACUUUUUAUUUUUUCAAGAACAAGCUCGACACCCUCCGCAUGAUUCACGACGUGUAUUUUAAUCUUAUAGAUUCAGUUGAAUGGCAACAUUACGAGUAAUUUUGUUUUGUUUUUUUUCAAUCGGAUAAUGUGGGACGGACGCCACUGUGCGUUGUUGCCGUUCAUCACCCUCCAUAGUUUUUGGGAGGAGCGGGGAGAGGGCAAACGACAGCGUAGCCACUCGAACCUCUACCGCACGCACUCAACGUCAUCGUUUUGGGGUUUGUACAUAUAAUAUUAUUAAUAAUAAUUGGACUACACUCGCACACACACGCACAUAUACAUAUAUACCUUCACUCGUUACAUUUUAUAUAGGUAUUUGAGCGGUCGAGUGGUACUGGGAGGGUUGUAUAAGCAGUAGCGGAGAUGGGGUGCACCUGCAGAGCAGUGCACGACAUUUCAUCAGUUGCAGCAGAUAACCAUCAGCCGUGCGGGGUAAUUAAAACAACAUUUUACGAGAUAAAUUUAUUCAUUAUAAUUAUUAUUGUUGGUAUAAUAUAAUACUGGGUAUUUGUUAUUUGGUAUGGUCGUGUUAUGCCGCAGCCGCGAAUGACAUGAUGAGUUUUGGCGAGAAUUGAUUAAACAUAAAAAUUAAAUGAAUUGAGAAAAAAAGUAACGACGAAGAGCUCGAAAAUAAAACUCGGAAAAUCGAAGAUGGCAGCCUAAAUGCGUUGGUAUAUAAUAAUUUAUAUACGUGUAAAAUUAUGACGAUCAUUAUCGUGUCUAUAUAUAGAUAUGUCUGUAUAGGUAUAUGUGCUCGAAUGCCGUGUAGACAAAAACACGCAUUAUAUUAUUUAAUAAUAAUAAUAACAAUAAUGACGUUAUAAUGGCGAUUGCGGGUGUCGAAUCAAUAAGAAAGUUACGUGUGGUUAAAUCUCAUUUCGCGUAUAGGUAUAGUGGUAUACCGUGGUUGCUGCGUGACGUGUAUAGGGGCUGAUAUAUAAUAGUAUAGAUGCAGGAUCCUGUGCGAUAUAAAACAUAAUAUUAUAUCCUGUGAUCGAACAUAUAUAUAAUAAUAAGUUCCUGAGUGCCUAUUGUGUUAUUCCUACAUGGGUACAUCGCGCAACAUACAGGUGUAAAUUAUUAUACAUACAUAUAGACCAACGAUGCUCAUGUUAUUAUAUGCAUAUAGGUACCUACGGGCCGGCGGUUGAUUAUAGCCAUCAUAUUAUAAUUUGUAUAUUAUAUUAUAGCGUACGUACACGAUGAGCAUAACACGUCUAUUCGAUGGACUAUACAACUAUUGUAUAUAAUAUAGACGAACGGUUAAUCGCACGGCCGCACGCGAUAUAUUUGCCGUUGUUCCCCCUCCCCCUCCUCAUACACUUCACCAUAUGAGCUGCGGUUCGGGGGCCAAAAGUUUUCGACGACGAUCGUCUGCGCUCAGCAAGUAUAAUAUCGCAAGAUGUACCUCUUAUAUACAUUGCGCUUUUAUCCACCAAAACAUUUCGUCGGCGGACGAUAAAAAUUAUUAUUAUGUAUCACAAUAUAGGUAGGUAUUUAUAAUAUAUUAUUUAUCAUUAGUAUCAUUAUAUGGAUUAUGGGUGCGAUAUGAAAAAUAAAGUAAUUUGUUAUUGUAAGGUUGUAGCGGUUGCAGUCCAUCUGCAGACGUAGAGGUACGCGUAACGUAAUAAAUUAUAAAAAUAAAAACGUUGUGGACGGGUAGAGAUGACGGGAAAAGGUGUUCAAAACGAUGGCUGCACCAAUAACGACGUGAAGCCUAUACGGACCGGUAUAUAUAUAUAUAUAUAUAUAUAUAGGACCUAUGGAUCGGUGCAUAUGAUGCACUCGUACGACUGCAGCGGAGGGAUGCCAUUCGGGGCAUAAUAAUAUACUUAUCGCAAACUGUACAUAAUAUAUUAUGUUUAUCAUCAUUUCACUUUCUGCUCGUUUUUUUCUCCGCGCGUUUUCCAGCCGAGUACGCAUAUUAUGUGUAUAUUAAACCUUUAGUAUAAAAUAUAGUCUCGUCUCUCCACCCCUCACUCGCCUAUAACCACGGCAAACGACGACUCAGACUCAGACUCAGAUUCCGAUUGUUACAUAUAUAUUAUAAUAUACAUUUUAGCACGAAACAAACACACACGGCGUAAUAAUAUAUAUUAUAAUGUACGUUUCGCGACGCGCGUAUAGACGUCAGACGGGAGUGAAAACGCUCUAGCGGGCUGCUGGCGGCGACGUACGGAGAUUUACACACUGAAAGGGUGGCGGUGUAGGCGGCGACCGAAACGCGCCGACGGUUUUAUUCAAAUGACUUCAUUUCAGACGUCUAGCCCGGGUGGUGUAAAUUUAAAUUAGGCGCCUCGGCUGCAUCGUGCGGGGGUCUGCCCGACCGUGUACGGCAUAUAUCGUCUUGUGCAACACCGCCGCCGACGUAUAUCACAUAGGACUAUACUGCACCACGCGAGUGUACAAUAAUAAUAUAUAACGCCGACGACGAUGAGCGAAAUUACUAUACAUACUCGAUGGACCCGAGACAGUUAUGCGUGCGAUUUACGCGCUCACAUGAAGUGUAAUAUAAUAUACGCGUACUGCACACGGUUUUCGGUCGGGGUGAAGUAUUUCGAAACGGAAUUGCGUUUAACGAAACCCGUCGCCGCCACACGCACGAAACGCCGCGCGAUUAUUCUACAUUUCAAUUUACGGCCGCCCGGACGCAUAUUUUCCGCGAGUGAAAUGAUAUCAGCUCGACUAGGCUGACGCGAAUGUCAGCGAACCGCUCGGCGGCAAUGAUAAUAUAAUAUUAUCGCUCCGUAACGACGAUGGAGUAACGACUAUAAAAUAUUAUACCUACCGAAAAUCGUCCGUCCCCCACACGCACAAAAAAACCUCUGGUCAGCAAGAGAGCAGGGGUGGAGGGCAAUCAAAUCCGAAAACCGAACAGUAAUAAAAUACGAUAAAUUUGAUUUCUUAACCUUAGGACGUGUGCGCAGUUGUACUGCAGCAACGAUUCGACGGCGAGCCAAAUAAAUGAUAGUCAUUAAAACACGCAUAUUAAUUAUUAUUAUAUUAUUCAAUACGACGCUUGCCGCGAUGUCGCAACGGUGUAAUAUUAUUAGGUACGUGUAGUGUGUACAUCUAUACUCACUGCAAGAGCGGAAAAACUUAAAUGAAAUCGCCAACAGGCCAUGAUGAUAUUAAUAGACGGCGAGGAGAGCCAGUGAUGCCGCGGUGAUUGAUUUUGAAUUUCACACGAAAAUAUUACAUAUUAUAUAUUAUACGCCGUUCUCUUAAACACGGUCAUUAUAUCAUAUCAUCGAGAAUACGCAUAAUAUUGAAUUUUCUACGGUAUGGGCGGAGAGUAUUUUACGUAUAUAAUAUAUAUAUAUAUAUAUGUAUGUUUCGAAGCGAAGAAGGCGAACAACGAAAUUAUAAUGCGGUAAAAGCCUAUAUUAUGUACAUACAUCGUCGUAUAAUAAAAAUCCGAAAACACCUCUAUACAUGUACGAGCUGCCUCCGUUGUUUUAAUAAUAAUAAUAGGCACGAACUAAACGAUUCCGUAGACGAUUUGUUUUUUAACACGUUUCGUUUUCACUCUCCGGGCAACGCAAUCUCGGUCCGCGUAGUUAUAUAUUAUAGUAGACAGUAUAUAAUAGACAAUCGCCAAGCUAAUAUUGUAAUAUCAUCGUUGGACGGCGAAAUAUCGUGUGCAUUCCGACACACUGAUGCACCACGGUGAGUGUAAUAUUAUUAUACAUCACACUGCACCGGCGACCCCCUAAUUAAACGUCUGGGGCGGCGACGGUGUUCCGGCCAACACGUUAUCUUAUUGUUAUAUGAUAUUGUGUGAGUGUUAAAAAAUAUAUAAAUAUAUAAUAUAAUUACGGUUCGUAGUUUUCCAUAACGCAGAGAGUUCUUCCAUAUUAUGUAUAUUAUAUUAUAUUAUAUUAUAUAGGUACGCGUCGUAACACAUUCUUCUACACGGAAUAAUAUCGUACAAAUAUAUCGGUACCACUCUGCAGGUUUAUAAUAAUAUAAAUACGCCGGCAAAACUGUAUUAAUUUUUCACAAUUAUUAUUAUUAUUACUAUAUUAUAAUAUGCAUGUCGGACGGUCACAAAUUGUCUCGAUGACUUAUCGUCCGGUCGGGACUAAAUCAAUUUCGAAGAUACUCACACACACACACGCAAACACGAUCCGUCGCUGCAGUUUCUUCUGCUGCAUAGCAAGUCGGAAACGCAGUAUAAUAAAUAGACGGUCGUAAUGAAUGGCGAAAACCGGGAGGUCUUGUCACCGCAAGACCAGUUUUCUACUUUCAUAAUAUUAUAAAUUACCGGCCGGCAAAUGACUUAUGGCCUCAAAACGGCCCGCGCGUCUUUGUACCCGAGCACAUAUAUAUAUAUCAUACACACGCGUGUACCGGCGUCGCGUGGGCGUUCAAAAAAUGUAUAUCCUACCAAUAUUAUAAAAUAUAAUAUAGUAUAAUAUAGGUAACCUACUCGCACGAAUAAAACGUCCGCGGUACGUCCCAUUAUAAUACGGAUUUGUACGGGUCUUGGUCGCAUAUAUAUCGAACGAAUACGACGGUGUGUGCGAACAACUGCAUAAUAAUAAUAUUCGAAAAGUUUUGGACUUUUGAGUAUGUUUAGUUUACGGUUUGACGUUUCGUAAUGAUAUCGCGUUCAUUGGAUACCUAUAAUUUGUAUUUGGCAUGUAACUAUAUUAUUCAAACGCGUAUUUCGUGUACACGGUCACAUAUAUUAUAAUAUAUUAUUAUGGACUACAUUAAACCGCAGAGAGUUUUGAAUCUUUGAGUAUGCGUUACGCGCUCGCGAUCGUUGGUUAUCAUUAUAAUCAUUCGACCGUGGCGACUCUCAUAUUGGCGAGUCGUUAUUUAUUCACGUCCCAUCACAUAAGAUUCUAAGCGUACGAUAUACCACCCAAGCGACGAUCAAUCUCUCGGACGCGCGCGCGUCACACGUGCAAUUUUUUCCAAUGUCCACUCGGCCUGGAUUUCGAAUUUUACCGACCAUCGUUGCAUCGGCUUUUGAUAUUAUGAUCGCUGCUGCAGAUCGGUACAGCUCUGCGCACUUACUAAUUAUUAUAUUAUGUGUUACAAGCGAGACUGCCGUUCAUGUGGAUGCACGGUUUGGCCGUGGUCUGGGGCGGCCAUUUUCGACGAUCGUUAAUUAAAACGUUCAACGUAUAUAGCAGCAGGUAUAUGUAGGUACACCAGGUUCGCGAUUGAUGAUUUCGCCUAUACCGCCCAAACGAAGUUCCGCAUACAGGGUGCGUGGCCGCGAGUGUGCAUAAUAUGUGAUGGCGAAUUAUAUAAAGCCGACGCUCGCGAACAACUGUCGAAAUAACGCUAAAAUAUAAUAUAUUAGGUAGGUACAUAUAGGUACGUGUCCAGGUGAAAGAGAAAAAUAUCGUUUUUCAGGUGUUUGCGGCGUGCGCUUAUAUUAUAGGUGUGCAUAUUGUGUACGAGUAUAUUAUAUAUACCUACGAAGAAACCGAGUGCCAUUAUUAUUAUUAUUAUUGUAAGUUAUACAUAUCGCGUACAUAUUAUAUAUAUAUACGAUGCCUACAAAUAGGGGGACGUGGGCGUGCUGCGUGCCAUAUGCCGGUCGGUCGAGUCCUAAGUAAAAUAAUAAUAAUAAAUAUGUAAUGUAUGUUGUAUUAUGGUAGUAGUAAAGGUCGUGUGUAGCGGCAGCAGCAGCAGCAGAAGAGCGCUGCGAGACUCGCCGCCGCGUGUAGCUGAAAAUUAAGACAAACCCGAGCCGCCGCCGCCGUCGGACCGGCGUGGGGGGCGGCGGCAGAGGGGGUCCCAUCCGCGCUCGUGUAAUUUAUUUGUUUCCACGUAAAUUAUUUCGAUGUCUUUCGGACGAUAAAUCUCCGAAAACCAUUGUGUGCGCCUGCCCCGACCGCCGACGUAUAAUUCUAUACCGCGUUAUAUAUAUAUAUAUAUAGGUAUAUAGUGUAUACCUUUUAUACCUAUAUAUACCUAUGCGAGUGUACCGUCUCAAUUACAACGUCGUAAUAAUAUAUGUAUAUUAUUAUAUUGUUAUUAAAUUAUUAUUAUUAUUAUUGUAAUAUGCAGAACCGUGCGAUUUUACGAUGUCCGCCGCGAGUAAAUCGAUAGUAUAAUAAUUAUAAUAAUAUGACUUAUCGUAAAAACUAGUCGCGAAAGGAUUUCGACAAUGCAGACCAGCGGUAAACGCAUCUAAAUUAUUAUUUAUUUUGUUUGUAUGUGAUGGAUAGUAUAUAGGCGUCGAUGAUAGUGUUAUGUUAUUUUAUACGUCGAUAAUAACAAUGAUAUUCGUUUUAAUCUGCAAGUCGACUGCUGGUUAUAUACACACGGCAAAGCGUCGUCGACGUGUUGGAAGCGCAAUUUUUCUCUCGAAAUUUUUUUCGACGGCCUUAUCGCCGUCCCGCGUCACGUACCAAGGGCGUUAUAUCGUCGAAUCGUCAACUACCUAUCGAAUCUCGCUCGUCAUUCAGAAAACGUACGCGGAAUACGCGCAGAGUCCGGGCCACACGCGUUUGCAUGAUAUUAAAGUCUCGACGAGGAAAAUGUGUUCCGAAUUACGUGCGAAUAUGUAAGUACAAUAAUAUCAAUAUUAUAGUCGUCGCCGAAAUAAUUCCGAAAUUAAAUCAUGUCUGUGUGAACGCACCCUACGGUAGCCACCGCCGCCGACUCGUCCCGCCAUAUUAUAUAAUAUACCUAAUACCUAUUAUGCUUAUAUACAUAUAUAUGUGUAUAUAUAUACCUACCACACUCGGCUCCCCCUUAAUAGACGGCGGCGGCCCACGGUUACCGCCACCGCCGCGAUGAUGAUAAUAUUAUUUUACACUGUCUCCUGUGCUGCAGUGUUGUAAAACACGCGUAUAUUAUGAUGAUGAUGACGACGACGGCGGCGAUGUCUCAUUUAAUAAAAACUAAUGCGUUAUACAUGUCUCGUCGCCGCAAUAAGAAUACGGCCUGGUUUCUCUAUACAUUCGUAUAUUAUGUGCGUGUAUAAUAUUAUAAUAUAUACUUUGGGAACUCUCGUAGAUCCUAAUGUCUCGUCUCGCGUAUGAUUAUAUCAUGUUUUAUUCGGUUUUAGGCGAAAUGAAAAACUUCUGUUCACGGCGGUGUUCAGGUUGGCGGUAUACAUACGUUUUGGCGAAGAAAAUCGUCUCGUGGAUUGUUCAUCAACUGCUGCAGAAGACGGAAAAAUCCAAAACGAGUGGAAUCAAUGUACGGGAAUGGGAAUUAAAACUGACUAUAUUCGGUGGUAUAACGUUAAUAAUUAAUAUAUAGCGUAAUAUGAGGUUAUAUACCUCAGUGGUGAAUUGGGUCAAAUAUACUUUAUCGUUAUGUUCUAUAGUUAAGUAUUAUUUUCGUAAUAUAACUGUGUAUUAUUGUUUAAAUAUUAUGUUUUUACGACCAAGUAUAUAUAUUAUUAUUAGUAGUAGUAUAUUAUGUACCCACAUAUAACGAGACGUCACGUGAAUGUGCGCGGUGUGGGUCGGUACGGCCGAUUAGAGUUUUAUAAUUUGUGUGUUAGAUGUCGACUGACUAAAUUUGGCCAUUAGGACGAAGACGACGAAACGGUAGGUAUAUAAAAAAAUCGUAAUCUCCGCAACGGCGAGGGAUAGCUCAUCUGUAAUUCGACGUUGUCGUCGGCCGCGCGGCGCUGCAGCCAUGUUUGAUACAGCCUACGGCUGACACUGUUAAGUUAUAAUAUAUAAUAUUAUCUCUCUCACUCGCUCCUAAGCCACAGCUGCCUCCAAACAUCUCGCACGACUACCGUAUACAGAACGGACGUGUAAUAUUAAUCGAUUCCGAAUUAAUUUCCGUCCGCACAGUACAUGACCGCAUACGAUGCGCUUAACCCGAAACUCGUAUAGCCGUGUGAUUAUUAUAUAUAUAUUAUUAUUAUAUAUAUAUUAAUUCAGCUCGUACACACGAAACAUCAGCUCGAUCGGUCAAGCGGUACGUGAUUGGUUUUUACACGCCGCUGUGUUGGGCGAAAUUUUAUCGAAAACCUUGGUCCUAUUAUAGAUACGUCUCCGAGCGUCUGAUUAGGUAAAAAAAAAUUCUCAAGCACAUUCGAAACCGAUAGUAGGGGUACAACAACACUCGCUUUUGUUUUAGGUCACCGGUGUUGCGGAUUAUACGCAUUUUACCCCUUUUUCGAUUCGCACUCUGCGUAUAGCUAUUUAGGUACCUAUAUAUAUUAUGCUACACGUAUAUAUAUAUAGUGUACAUAGUUGCACGUUUCACUCGCAGUAUACGCCGCGGAAUACAAACGCGUGUGCCGUUGGUCGCGGCGUUUUUUUUUACGUUUCGUUUUAAUUUUAAUUUUUUUAUAUACGCGCUCAGUUUCUAUAUGGACCAGCGAAUGAUAUACACGAGUCCGCUCGUAAACUCGUCAAUGUUUCGAGUUUUUUUCUAAUUUUUUAUUCCUAUUUAAAAAAACAUAUUUUUAAUAUAUACGUGCGCCACGUUCGAGUGUGUGUGUGUGUAUAGGUAUAUAUGGUCCCACAAAAACCAAGGGCGGGCCCGGCCGCGCGUAUAUGUACGUCGGGCGUCAGAUAAAUCAUGUGACUCGGACGGAUAAAUUAUUCGGUGGUCGUCCUGCGGCCAUCCUCGCGUCUUGCGCGCGCUGUGCGCACAUAUAAUACGCGUUUCGUUUUUUUUUUUUUCGUUUUUGUUUUUUAUUUUUUUACUCUCAAUGACUUCACCAUUGCCCCGCCGCUUAAUUAAACUCCGUAGAUCAUGUGUACAUAUUAUAUUAUUAUUAUUAUUAUACCAUUUGCCCGAUGCACGCACACACUCUAGAUAGGUACUACCUUAUACGCUCGUUCUCCACGAUAUGUUUCUCGUACCGAUCGAAAACGAGUCUCCACUAUGAACCCUAUACGGGAUAAUAAUAUUAUUGUACACAUAUCAUAAUAUACAUUAUAUAUGCGACGAACACUACGUAUCGCGCGCAGCAGUUCUUCGGUGGGAGGGCGCCGCGCGUAACUCGUAAUAAUAUAAAUACUUAUAAUAACCGCGACCAGAUCCGAAUCGAUCGAGAUGUACCUAUAUAACGAACGUUAUUAUAAAUGGACGUUUGGACGAACAAUUGAGAGCAAUGUCAUUUCAUAUGCUGUUAUAAGCCAGAUAUAUAUAUAAAUACAUAUAUGAAUGAGAAAUGUAUUGUUUAUAUAUAUCACGUGUGUAUAUAUGUGUGUGGACGAAUCGCAAAUGUAAUUUCUGAAAACGUUCGCGUGUUUUAUAUGCAUAUUAACGACGUUCUGGUACACCAGUAUUAAAGUGCCAUUUUUGGCACUCUUCCGGGGGUUUAUAUUUGACCGAAAUUCGGAGACAAAACUCUUCGGGUCUGUAUAUGUGUGUUUAUAUAAUAUAUAUAUAUAUAUAUCUGUAUUACUGCUGCUGCUGCCACUGCUCCGAGGUUUCUCGCUUAUUAUAAACGUGUAACUCUGUGUUUCUCCGUAAUACUAAGCACAAAUUUCAUACAGCCAGUUUUCUUUUAGCACGCUGCACUGCUAUAUAAUAUUAUAUAUAUAUACCCUGAGGCGAAAAUGAAUUACGAUCCGGAAUGCCGGAAAGCGACACGGCGCAAGAUUAAUGUCGUUUUACCAUGUAUAGUUAUACGGGACGAACGGGCGCGGGUCCCGUCGGAAAAAGCCUGGCCCGCGCUCCACCUCACCGUCGGUGGGAAGCGAAGUGGUGGCCAGGGGGCCGCCAGGGGAGCGGUGGCGUUUAAUGGGAGGGAGGGGGUAGUUGUAAUAAUUAUUUUAACAGUGAACUCCAUUAGCGACUAUAUAAGGUGCUUGGCGGCGGCGGCGCGGGGGCAGUGACGUUUAUCAUUUGAAAAAUAACCUCCCCUGUAUACGCGCAUAUACGCACACAUAAAUACAAUACGCAGAAACGUAUAUAUAUGAUGUAAUACCACUGCUGCUGCUGCUCCUGCAGGAACUCUCCUGCACGCCACUACUAUUGCAACGUCCGGGUGGCGACGGCCGUCGGCCGGGGCGAAGUACAGGCAAUUAAGAUCACCGAUCUUACAACCACCUUGGAGUUUUUUCCUUUUUCUCCCGCCAUCCCGCGCUCGACGAUUAUAUAGCGCGCGCGCAUACUACUCGUCGUCGACUUAUUAAAGGGCCCGUUUGGAAAAAAAGGUCUUCUUAUCGUGCGAGCGCAAAAAAAAAAAACGCGAAAUAAAAUUAGAAGGAGAGGUGGAGAAAAAAUUAAAUCGUUUAAAAAAAAAAAAUAAAGUAAAAGCUCCUUUUGUGUACCCGCGAUGAUUUACCGCACGGUUUUUAUCUGGCCGGCAAUAAAUCGCGGGCUCCCGCGACGCCCGAGGGAGGGUAUAUGUAGGAAAAAAUUGCACGAGCGCGAACCCCCUUCGCCGGAGCGGCGUGUAUGUAUUGUAUGCGUGUGCGUGUGUGCGUACGGUUUUUAUACAUAGAUAUUUAUUUUUUCGGAGUUAUAUGCACUCAUAUUUUCAAUGCGCCUAUCGCCUCCUUUUGUGAAUACUUUGCUCAUUAUGUAUACACACGAAUCCAUUACCGGGCAUCGUGGUUUGUCUUAUCACCACUUCGCCGCGUUUAUUCAACGUUUUUUCGGCAAUAACUUUCCGAGACGAACCCGCCGCACAUACUUAUAUAUAUAUUAUAUAUAAUUUUAUAUGCACAUAAUACGGGCGAUGUAUAUACCUAUAUACGUACUGCAUCACGCUUCACGAUGGUGUUAAUUCCAACAAGUAUUCCACACCGUGAGUAUAUACCUACUGCUGUGGUAUAUGUGAUGUAUAUAUAAAAUGUAUAUAAAUAAAUAAUAAUAUACCAGGUCGCGACUAAAUUAUCGUCGUUCUUUUAAAUGCACGCGGCGGCACGUGACGAUGUCAGGUUACGUUUUGGAAUUCAAAACUCCGGUGUUUGAUCAAUUUAAUAUGUAUCAUUUAGGUACGAAUAAUUAUAUUCGCAGGGGUAAAGCAGUGUGCACAUAACUAACGACGUGGUAAAAAUUAGAUUUAAUUUUAAUUAACGACGCUGCUAUUAAUUAUUUUGAUAUCGUGCCUAAGUGUUUUAGUAAAACACCACGAGUAAUUAAAACGAAACCGGUUGUCGUAAAAUUCGGUGUUCCUCAUCGUCAUGCAUGACCGGCGUAUGCAUAUAUAGCUUAAAACACAUAAUAUAUAACACGACAUAUUAUAGUGACGACUACACGCUCAAAUGUGUCAUGCCCAUAAUACGACAUAUUUUUGCGAAUGAGCCGCAUUCGUGCAUUAUUCUAAGGUGAACUUUAACCCCCUCUAUAGCGGAAAUUAGCGGAAAUGCUUUAUGGGUAUUAUUACCUCACGUUCCACAUAAAAAUUGCUAGAGAUCAAAUGGCCGCGCGCAAUGAUGGGGGAGUGAUAUCCCGGCGGUACACGUGUAAUAAUUAUAUCGGAACAAACGUAUAAUAAUAAUAAUAAUAAUAUUAAUGAUGAUGCUGAUACACAGUGACCGCCGUACAACGUAGGUGGCAUAGGUCUACAUAAUAAAUAUAGUUUUGUAUAAGUAUUAUACAGAGUGAGAGAAAACCGGAGGCUGCCGCGCAGGCACCCGACAUAUACACUCGUCGUAGGUAAUAUACAUGUUAUAUAUACUAUUAUAGGUUUAUAUGUAUACAGCACGCAUUAUACGGUGUAUGGUCUUCGAAGAGUUGUGGUCGGAUUGCCACGAGCACACUGUAUACACUUGCCCCAGCGUAUAGGUCCAUACAUCGUAGGAGAUGUUAUAUUGCCGUGUCCGCGAGUGUGUGCCGAACAAUUUGGCGUAAUCUGGGCACAAUACCAAAGGGGUCUCUGUCCGCUCAUUCCCUCUCUCGCUCCAUCUCUCUCUCUCUCUCUCUCUCAAAGUUUCAGUCCAUAUACAGCACGAACCGGGACACGAAACGCAGAGAAUAAAUCACAAGCACCUCGACUUUUCACGUCGCUCGCGAAAAGCAUUCCUCGCUCGGUCAUAUAUUUAAGAAUCUACCGCACGCGUGUCUGGACGGCUUACGCAAGCGUCAUAUAUGUGUACGUGUUAUUACAUAUACGUAAGACGCGAGCGCGAAUAUAAUGUGUGUGUUGUUUUACGAUAGGAAACAAUUUUAAUUUUUCUCCCGCAUAUACCUAUAUAUAUAUAUAUCAUGCGAUCUUUGUUUUUGCGGCAAUAAUACUUGUAUUUUUUUCACCCCGGCCUGGGCUGGCGAGCUUUAAACUUUUUCUUCGUCCUAUAUUAUAUAUAUAUAUAUAUAUAUGUUGUCCGGAGAGAAAUUAGUUUCUGCACACGCACACACGCACAAAUGGUCGACCGGAGGGCGGUCCGCGAGGCCAUGCAUCAAACCCUAUAUAUAUAUCCACGAGGCGCGGAGACUUUUAACCGCGCGCGCCAUACACACACACACACACACACACACACAGGCUCACACAACCAUGGUAUAGUGUUCGGUUACUGUGGCGGCGAGGGAAAAAAACGAAUGGUUCUCUUUCUUUCUAAUUGAGAUGUUACCGGUGAUGUAUUGCCCAAAGUAAUUCUACUACCCCCACCGCGGCCGAAUAGAACAAAAACGAGUUUGUAAUACAAAAACCAUUUACCAUUCGACUCUCGCGGAUAACACCGUUACAUUACACUAUAUUAUAUUAUGUUACAAUAUUUUAAUAUUUGGGAACAUUUGCGGCACGAAAAAAUAAGCAAAAAAUAAAAACAAUAACGAUUAAAAUCAUUAACUAUCCGAUCCGCUAUAUCCUUUUAAACGUUAAACACCGCGCGCGCCUAGUCGGUCGACUUAAAAAUAAAUAUAAUAAUGAGUUGCCUACCUACUUAAAUGCAAUAUGUAUACUAUAAUAACCACUAUUAAAAUGUAAAGCCCUCCGAAAACUUGUGACACGUUUUCAACCGUAUAAUAUUAUGUCAACGAUCUAAUUAGGCCACUCGGGUAUAUUAAUUUCUGCUUCUAAUUAUUUUUUUUGUUAAAAAAAUCUCACUGUCACACAUCGCUGGUAGGAAAAUAGAUUCGGCGCGUAUACAUGUAGUACGUGCGUACUAUAAUAGUAGUGUACAAUAUUAUUAUGAAAUCUGAUUAUUCAUUACGUGUUCACCUUGCCGCCGGGAUCUACAGAUCUCCACAUCCUAUACAUUGUAUAUACCUAUAUAUAAAAUGUAUUGUAGACUGCGCGGGGCGAGUGCGCAUUAAUAUAAACGAGUAUUAAUUUAGUACUCGUUAAUUAUUAUCGCGACCUGACGAAUAUUAUUCUCUCGUGUUUCAUAUACAAUAUUAUGUAGGCAGUAUAUGUCGGCGGUGCCGAUAUAAUACAAACCGUCUCAUUAAACGUAUAAUUUGUAAUAGGUAACCAUUACAUAAUUAAUGAUAUAUAUCGAAGUAAUUAGUAUACAUAUUUUUUUUUUAUCCGAAAAUAUUUUGAAUAUGCCGUAGGAAAUAUUUACCGUCGUAUACAUAUUAUACAAUAAUAUUAUAUGGGUGAACUCGUUUGUAUUAAACUAAUAAAUAAUAAUAUAAUUCCAUGAGCAUUCGAAUAACGACUUCUUUAUGUUUCAAACACUCGCGACUACAAAAAUAAAAGGGUAUAAACGCAUAUCGGGUGCGGUUAAACAGUCAGCCCCGUAUGCGUUUGUAUAAUAUCACGCACCGGAACCGUUUACGAAAGCGGAUUGGUUUUCGGGGUGUGCCUUAAAAAAGGUUGUAAAAUAUAAAUUGCGUAUCGUCCGCCGGUGAACAAAAAAAUGUUCACUUGUUAUUUUGAUUGCAAUUGACCGCAAAACGCAUAAUAAGACGUCCUGCAGCGGCGCGAGCGUGUUAAAAAAAUACGAAGUGUGCAAAAAAAAGAAAGAAAUGAGAACAAAAAUGUGUCGAAAUAUUUGCUACCGGAUUUUUAUUUUUUUUUGUUAUAAAACCGAUUUCACGCUACUCAAGGUCUAACGUGCACUACUGUUUGGAUAGUCGGACGAGUCUCCCGGGCAGCGGCGGCGGCCGUGGAGCGUACAAAAUCGAAAUGCAGGCAUUGUCAACGGGUCCCGAGGUUAGGGGUACGUAUGCAAGACCUACCUUUAAUACCUACUCACGUAUAUAUAUACAUAAUAUUACCUACAUAUAAAUACGUGCAUACGUGUGCAGCCCGAGUUCGCAAUGUAGGCACAGCGCGUAUAUUAUAUGCUGCUGCAGGCACCGCGUGCAGUGGCAAUGAUGGCGGUGUCCCCGGGUGAGGCCUAUUGUGAGGACGAUACAGUAUUAUAUUAUUAUAUACCUGAGGGUGUCCAAAAGACAAACAAAGGGGAUGCCGAAAACGAGUUUCACCUUUGGAAACUUUCACUUUACGUUAUUUAUUACCCCGCGUGCGUGCGUCCGCGUGUAUUAUUGUACACGGGCACAAUAAUGCUGAUGACAGUGCACGUACCCACACGUGUAAAAUAUGUGUAUGGUACGUAGGCCCCGAGUCGAAAUUCGUCGCAUUUCGUCGAACGCGUCCGCACUGGAAUCAUCACCGUCGUUCAACUCCACCGUCACCGCCACCGGUAAGUGCAGUUUGUUUUAUUAAGUUUUUCCGUAAACCGUUCGCCACCUACCUAGGUAAAAAGCUAGCCAUAUAUAUAUAUUAUGUAAUUACAUGACGCGUACGUACGAUAUAAAUCUCGGUGGACGCUUAAAAAAUAAUUUUAUCGCAGCCACCGCGAAUCUGUUACUGCUACUACUAUUAUUAUUAUUAUUAUUAUUGCUGCCUCAUUAACGGAAAACAAACACGACGCGGUUUAACCUCGCCAGGCCGUAAUAGUGAGCACGUUAUACAUUAUUAUACAUAUAAUAAUAUAUAUCGCGAACGACGAGAUUUAUACAUGUAUACGUAUAUAAUAUAUAUGUUUAUAUUAUAUAAAUGUAUAUGUGUGUGUGUGUGUGUGUGUGUGUGUGUAUUAUACAUGUUUGUAUACACGUUAUAAGAGGGUUUCUUAUAUUGAUUUAAACGGGUCUCCUGGGCAUGCUAAAUAUCCGUCCGGCAUCCGCUCGCCGCCGGGCCCUGCCAUUUUGCCCCUUAAGGGGGUGACACUGCACGCACACCAUCCCGCCCGCACCGUGCCGCGGCGGCGAACCCCGAAAAGCCCCACCGCCACCCCCCGCCCACGCCGCCAGCGCGCACAUAGGUCAUUCGCGUGUAAUAAUAUAAAUUCUCGUAAAAUAUUAUACAUAAUAUUACGCGUGUAUAUAUUAGUAACUCCGACACAACAUUAUAAUAUUACUUGCGUUUCGUUCUACAACAAUUAUUAUCGUUUUUUUUUUUGUUAUUAUUAUUUUACAAUAAUAUUCUUCUUUGUCGUCCGCAAUUCGUUUCGCGCGUCGCCGUAAGUAAUUUACACCGAACAUUUACCGCGGUGGACUAUGAACUUCAAUUUUAUCGUGGCCUUUGAGAAGAAUCUUUUCUCGGGUAUAAUUUAUAAAAAAAACGUUCUAAAAUAUUUUAACUGCCACACCACGGUCGUUGGUUGUUCCCGUGUAGCCAUCGUCACGUCGGCAAACCGCACCGGUUUCGAAUUCUUACGCAUAUUAUAUUAUAUAUUUCCAAAUAUCGCCACCGAUGAUCGUAAUUUGACCUGUGUUCGUGAUAAACCAGAGCGAUUCCGCACCGGACUCGAUGAAGGCGAACGAGACAAUUAUAUCUAAUCCACUGACAAUCACUAAUUAAUAACGUUAUGCGAAUAAAUUAAUUUUUAAUAAAAGUUAUGCGAAACUCGUGCAUUGCGUUGUAAUAUAUCAAACAAAAUUCACAUAUUUUGUUAUUGUUUAACGAGAUAAUGAACUGAAAAAAUAUUUAUCGGUGGCGCCUGCACAUUUUUUCUCAUUAAAACCAGACAAUCUACAUCAUUAUUAUAAUAGAUAAUGUGUAUAGUAGCGACUACAAUGAUUACAUAAACGUAAUAUAUUAUUGUUAUAAUAAUAUUACAAUAAUUAUUAUUGUACAUCGCAUUAUUAUAAACAGAAAGUUAUACGUCAUGUAUGUUUGGCGUGUUCGACGGAUUUAGUAGGUAGCCAUCUUUAUCAACGGAAACCCAAUCAUAUUCCUUUUUAAUCCUGUACAAAUACCUAAUAUACUCGUAUAAAUUGUAUGUAAUAUGUCAGUAUGCCAUAUAAUAUAUGGAACGCUGUAUAUGUGUAUGUCCCUAUUGUGUCAAGGCGAAUCGGUUCGUAAUUAAUAUAAUAAUUAUUGUUAUUAUUGUACUAAUUAAUGACGAUAAUUACACGUGAUCCGAAGAUAGGAAAAAAUUAUAUUACAUAUUAUUUUAUUUUUAAAAAAAUUUUAAAUGUGACGACUAUAAUAGGUGGAUUUAUGUCUAUAUCGCAGUUGAAUGAAAUAUUGUAUAGUACGUUAUGGUUUGGUCUGUAAAACGUGAUUCGAUUUUAAACAAUUACUCAGUAUACCUUAUAUGAAUUGGCAAACGUCUGAUGAUUGUACACGAGCUAGUUGUUAGCGAAUACUUAAAAAACAUAUUCUACGAUGUUAAUUUAAUAAAAUUUGAUUUUUUAAAAUGCAAUUUAAAUGGCGCAUAAUGUGUCGGUCGUAAAAAUCUCAAAAAAAUAAAUAUUUCAGAAGAAUCUCGUAUAGUGUUUUUUUUUUAAACAUAAAACUAUCAUUAAUUUAUUGGCUGUAUAAUCCCAAGUGAUUAACAUCAUUACUAAUGACAUCGUUUAUACUCAGUUCCGUAGCGAUAAAAACGUAUUAUGGACCAAAUCAUCAUAGCCAACGUAUAUAGUUUAAUGACCACCUCGAUGAACAACUGCAGGAACAUGAAUAUUUUGGGAGAACGGGUCACACUGCAUAUACUUAAUAGUCUAACACUCUAAUAUAUCGUAUACUAUUAUAUAUUAUAUUUUAAUAUACGUACACAAGUCGUAUGUUAUUGCGAGCUGAAGAUUUAGGGCAUAGGAAGAGGAAGUGGCACCGACACCGGUGGUUAUCGCGUCGUCCGCGCGGCCGUUGUCCACUCUCUUGUGCUGUGAUAAUAAUAGUAUAUUAUGUACCUACUCGUAUUAUAAUAUUAUAUUUAUGCGCAUAUAAUAUCGUUUUCCUCGGAAGUCCACCGGGCGCGGACGAUAAGGUUGUUUGCUCAACACCAAGUGGUCACCCCGCACCGGAGAGACUUACACACACCACAUUAUAUUAUACUGUAUACCGGUCAGCCGGAAUAUAAUUUGUCGCUUAUAGUAAUAUAUUAUUAUCUUAUACAUAUAUGCGCGUCGUGGUGUAUAUACGAUCGAGUAAAUCCCGUUUUUCUCCCGGUGCGCGCGCGGUCCUCGACCCGAACGAUGUUCGCGUUAGAACAACAAGGAUACAAUUAUUAUUAUUAUCAUAAUAACGGUCGGAAACUUUUCGGCCGCGCUCACACUUCCGAUUCGGCGACCCGAUGAUAAUAUUUUCAUCCUUGACAUCCGCAUAAACCCGACAUUCAGCUGCACGUUCUCGGGAAAUACUCAUGACAUUUCUCGACGUAUUUUCUACCGCGUUUAUAUUGUACCUACAUAUAUAAAGUUAGUACCUAUUUCAUGGCGUUAUAUCAACAAUAUAUAUUAUAUUAUAAUAUAUACGUGUUUGUGGCACACACACAUCACACUCACACACAUACGCACAUCGCGCGUAUAAUUGGGGUCACUUCCUUCCUUCCUUCCUUCCGGUCCUUCGGUCGGAACUCACGCAAGCACACACACACAUACCAGUGGCCCGCACACAUGGUCGGAAAAAGGUCCUCGGCCACGGCACGUCACGUCCGCCUACCUAUUUAAAUACGACGCAUACUGCGACGGGGUAAACUCGCGCGCGCCCGUCGUUUGACCACCGCGAAAGCGGGUGUAUACCACUUGAUACAUGACCGGAUUACGAAAGUUUUACUGCACACGUUGUACGCGAAAAAAGUACAUACAGGAAGAUUGUUUUAUCGUAAACCAGCCGGAAAUGUUUUGGGAGAAACAUACCUAAUAUUAAUGUGAAAUUUUUGAAACAAUUAUUAUUUUUUGAUGAUUUUAUAAGAACAAAUUUUAUCUACCCACUUUGAUCGUCCUAUAGGAAACUUCGUACAACAGCAGUCUUUCUCAAAAGUCAUUAAAUGUAAAUUUGAACGUAGUACCUACCUAUAUGUGUGUUUAGUUGAGACUAUAAUGGCUUGCCGAGAUAUUGUCCGAUUCGUCGCGAUAACGUCAUCGCGAUCACUCUGUAUUGUGAGGGUUUUCCCGAGGCUUUUACCGCUCCACGGAAAACGCUCGGCCGCCGCGGCUUGCCGCCGCACACAUGUUCGACAGUAUAAUAUAUAAUAUUGUUAUUAUUGCAAUUCGUUAUUCGAUUCGGCCUGAAACGCCGGGAAAGCGACAAAUUUAAAUAUAAUCGCACAUAAUCCAUUGCUGCCACCCGGCCGUAAUAAUUAUAUUAUAUAUAUAUAUAUAAUAUUAUAAUUAAUAUACGCAUUUGUACGCAUAUUUUAACGAUAACUGUGCCGCGCGCGCUCGUGAAUUCGGCCGGAAAUCUAUUGCGAGCCGAGUCCGUUUGCAUACAUUGUAAACCCUUUUGCGGCGCGUAAACCGUAUAAAUUUCUCGUUUUAAAUCGAUAAUACGCUCGCGGUGUAUUAUAUUAGCUGGCGCACGUAUAUAUAUAAUAAUAAUAAUAAUAUUAUAAAUUCUAACACUCGGCGAUUAUUGCGUUGUUAUUAUCGUUGUAUACGACGUAUAUAUCCAUCGUGUUUAUUGGAAAAUAAUUGAACGAUUUCACCGGCAGCGUCGCCGGCGCCUUGGAGUUAGGUUUUUUUUUGUUGUUUCUAAUAAAUAUAUUAUAUCGAAAGCGACGAAAACUGGUCGACAAGGUAUACCCAUACGCGUUAAAUAGGAUAUACCGUCAAAACAUAUUAUGUUCGAUUAUAAUAAACGACGUGCGUAUAUAUUAUAAUAUGUUGUGACGAUAAAGGCGUAGGAUAUGUGAGGUAUGCGAUAGACAUUUUGAAUCCCAUCCUAUAUAUCAGGUACGUUCUAUAUACGGCUAUACCGUUGAAAUAAUAAUAAUAAUAAUAAUAAUUAGGUACGCGGGAAUUACGAACAUUAUGCCAUGAUAUAAUAAAGUGUAAGAAAUAAUUUAUUAAUCAUUUAAAACACUAUAGGUAUAUGCUUUUAAUUUAUAUUAUAUACAUAAAAAUUAUAUAUAUUAUAUAGGUACAUAUAUGAUUACUAAAAGCCUGAUAAUGAUAACGCCAUCGACAACUAGUGACUGAUUUCAAUAACCUAUAUUUGUUAUAUCAACGCUCUAUAUAGAGUAGAUUAACCUUAGGUCUUUUAAUUCAGUAGCGGUUUUUUUUUUUUUUUGAUAAGUUAUUUAAUUAUUUAAAACCGUUGUCUUUUCUUUUGCUGCAAGCGAUCUACGAACAUACGACGAUAUCAUACCAUUAUCGAGUAACUUCGAAUGCAUGUACAUAAAAUAUUACAUUUGAUUUUUUAUCCCAACACUUGAAAAUAUUGUUAUAACAAUAAAUUCGUCUCUUGGCCCGAACACCUAAUUUACCAUUAUGUUAUAAGCAGGUAUUAUGCUUUUCAAUAACAUAUAUUAUAAUCUAUUUUGAUAUAUACAUAGCCAUACUAUAACCUAACUAUAUUAUUAUAUAUUAAGUAUAAUAUAUAGUUAGUAUUUGUUGGCCACGUAUUGCAAUACAUCAUUUAAUAGUAAUCUUAUUUAGUUGAUUUUCAUGUUCCCAUCACGAGCGAGUGUAUAGGUUGGUACUAUAUAUUAUAAUAUGUUCAGAUAUAAUUUAUUAUAAGAAAGACACGGAUUGUCUCAAUGGUAUAUGUAUAAUACUCGUAAUAAUAAUGUUAAAAUAUUCAACUAUACAUAUUAUAUUAUUAUACAGCUCUAAUCGCGUUUGUAAUAUUCGUUUUUGUUUCAGAACAUCAUAUUUUACAAUGUGACCCUUCGAUUCAAUUUGUUUGUGAAUUUGAUGGAUCGCUACGGGUUUUCAGUGCAUAAUAUACUGCAUGGCGGUCAUUAUUCCGUACCUAUACUUAGUAUUAUUAUACUUGCUGUACAGUUUCAGUAGCCACGCAGUUCGUUAUGGAGCUUAAUGUUAGUCUCUAAUAGAUUUGUCGAGUGAACGCGUACGAGAAUCCUGCAGAACACCGAAUACAUAAUAAUAUGAAUAACAAUAUUGUGUUAUAGUAGUAUCGUGGUUCGUCGUUUAUCUAUAACUGGUGCAGACCCGUGUCAGAGGUAAAUUAACAGUUUAUUUAUAUGAGUAUAAUUCAUCAAAUUCAAUUUAAUUAUUUCCUUAAUUAUGUUUCAGGUCGUUUAUUUAUAGUUUUUGAUGACUGACUACUUUGUUAAAUUCAUUUUUUUAAUCGUAUGAAUUGUUACGCUCCCGACAUAUUUGCAUAAAACAAUGGAAUUAUUAAAACUAAAUUCAAACGUAUAGCUGUGAACAUUAUACACAUUUAAGCAGGUUCCUACAGUCUAGACACACGGAUUAUAUAUUAUAUAUAGGUACCACGGAAGUAUUGUUACAUAUGCGCGGAUAUUACGAACUCGAAAAGUAUUCAUGUAUAGAAUAAAAGUGAAAUCACUAGGUCAUCUCGCGGAUACACGACGACGAAGACUUCCACUACGUUUUAAUCGCGGAUCUUUUCCGGCCUGCGUGCGCUCUCGAAACGUGUAUAUACUUUUAUGUAUUAAACGUGUGUCCAUAUAGGAACAUUAUAUAUAUUAUAUAUGAUAUAUAUAUACAUAAUAUAUAUAUAUAUGCAUAUUUUAUUUUUUAAACAUCGGUAGUGUUAUAUACGUAUAUAUACCUAUUUAGAUGCGUAUAAUAUCAUACAGAACGUACCCGCAGCAGCCUACGCGCCGCAUACGACUUGGGAGAAUACUGCAGCUCAGAUUACAAUCGCGCGGGUAAUCAACAAUCGCGCACUAUAACUGUGUUGCUAAUAAUAUAUUAUAUUGUGUAUGUACUACAUAGAUACGGUCAUUUAUUGUGGUUCGCGCGUGUAAUUUUUUUUUAACGUCUAAUUAGCGAUUGCAUUUUUUUUCAGGCCAAACACAUCACGCGUUGGGUGUUGAUUGUUAAUGAACAUACUCGACAACAUCAACUGGACUAAACGAUAAUAAUUAUAUGAAAUACGAUAUCGGAUAUGCACGCGUGAAUCAAAAAAUAAUAAUAUAAAAUAUUGUAUUAUACCUAUUAUACCUAUAUGUACCCACUUUAAUUUACACCAAACGCUUUGUUGUACCGCUUACAUCAACAUUAAUAUAUUUUAUAAAUUUACAUUUGUAUAUUGAGUAGAAUAAUUUAUAAUACACAUUCAUCCAUAUUAUGUCUAAUUAAAAUGUAUUUUUUUACAUAAUUAGUGUAGGUAUAUAUAAGAUUACGAGAACGCUGUGUAUUUAUGCACGUAUAUAUUGUAUGUAUGCUGAACGAGUAAUAAUUGAAUACAUCAUCAUAGGUACUAUAGUGUGGUUAAAUUAAUUAUUUUCCGAUUUGCCGUUGAAAGGAAAUCGAGCAAUCAGUUGUUUAUGCAUGAAUAAGUAUAUAUUAUACCUAUACUGAAAGCCGGGUUAUGUUACUAUAUUAUAAUCAUCAAUCAAUAUGUUUUAACUCGCCGAAUAUGUAUAUCUACCAUAGAGUAAAUUAUCAAUUUAUAUACUUGUAUAGUUCAAUGAAUUUAUAAUAAACAUCAUCAUAAUCGCAUAUGAAGAUUAAAAACACACAAA
This is a long non-coding RNA of Acyrthosiphon pisum (pea aphid), 30062 nucleotides long. RefSeq lists it as uncharacterized. The record is from RefSeq and is a predicted model, not a curated record. NCBI's taxonomy places the organism in Eukaryota, Metazoa, Arthropoda, Insecta, Hemiptera, Aphididae. The transcript has 4 exons.